This 375-nucleotide ribosomal RNA is filed under the name uncultured bacterium. Its description in RNAcentral is "bacterial SSU rRNA". It matches the Rfam family "Bacterial small subunit ribosomal RNA", at positions 28 to 404 of the family's 1533-position model. The record is from RNAcentral.
GACGAACGCUGGCGGCGUGCUUAACACAUGCAAGUCGAACGGAAAGGCCCUUUCGGGGGUGCUCGAGUGGCGAACGGGUGAGUAACACGUGGGUGAUCUGCCCUGAACUUUGGGAUAAGCCUGGGAAACUGGGUCUAAUACCGGAUAUGACCAGUGGGUGCAUGCUUGCUGGUGGAAAGCCUUGUGCGGUUUGGGAUGGGCCCGCGGCCUAUCAGCUUGUUGGUGGGGUAAUGGCCUACCAAGGCGACGACGGGUAGCCGACCUGAGAGGGUGAUCGGCCACACUGGGACUGAGACACGGCCCAGACUCCUACGGGAGGCAGCAGUGGGGAAUAUUGCACAAUGGGCGCAAGCCUGAUGCAGCGACGCCGCGUGA